UACGUAGGGUGCAAGCGUUGUCCGGAAUUAUUGGGCGUAAAGAGCUCGUAGGCGGUUUGUCGCGUCGGCUGUGAAAUCGUGGGGCUCAACCCCGCGUCUGCAGCCGAUACGGGCAAACUAGAAUUCGGUAGGGGAGACUGGAAUUCCUGGUGUAGCGGUGAAAUGCGCAGAUAUCAGGAGGAACACCGGUGGCGAAGGCGGGUCUCUGGGCCGAUAUUGACGCUGAGGAGCGAAAGCGUGGGGAGCAAACAGG
RNAcentral lists this ribosomal RNA (253 nucleotides) under uncultured bacterium. Its description in RNAcentral is "partial 16S ribosomal RNA". It matches the Rfam family "Bacterial small subunit ribosomal RNA", at positions 524 to 776 of the family's 1533-position model. The record is from RNAcentral.